UAUAACCCUAGGCUUUCUCAUUUAUAUGUCACCAGUUCUUCCAAUGCGACACUUUCAGUGAUAGAAGUAUCUAAUCAUGGGGAUUUGACUUUGUUAGGGCAAUCUCCUGCAAACAAAAAAGCUCAUUGUGUUGUCAGCGAUGAUCAAAAUAAUAUUUGGGUCUGCGAUCCAAGCCGCGGUCAACUUUUAAGGUAUAAAGAUACAUUGUAGUAUCAAUCUAUGCGCCCUUCACAUUCAUCACAUCGACCACCACAUCGGCCUUCUCAUAGACCUUCUCAUCAACACGCCCGUCCUACAACAUCAAGGCGAGUUGACGAGAAUGAGAAAAAAUUCUUGAGUGGAAUACCGAUUGAUCCUUCUCCGCGCAUCAGGCUGGAUCACCUCCUUAAGCCGAAUUCUGCAGAUAUCCAUCACACUGGCGGCCGCUCGAGCAUGCAUCUAGAGGGCCCAAUUCGCCCUAUAGUGAGUCGUAUUACAAUUCACUGGCCGUCGUUUUACAA
This 500-nucleotide ribosomal RNA is filed under the name uncultured bacterium. RNAcentral's name for it is "partial 16S ribosomal RNA". The record is from RNAcentral.